GUCGGGAUAGCUCAGCUGGYAGAGCAGAGGACUGAA
This 36-nucleotide transfer RNA is filed under the name Cyathula uncinulata. The record is from RNAcentral. Lineage: Eukaryota; Viridiplantae; Streptophyta; Magnoliopsida; Caryophyllales; Amaranthaceae.